This 253-nucleotide ribosomal RNA is filed under the name uncultured microorganism. RNAcentral describes it as "partial 16S ribosomal RNA". It matches the Rfam family "Bacterial small subunit ribosomal RNA", at positions 524 to 776 of the family's 1533-position model. The record is from RNAcentral.
UACGGAGGGUGCGAGCGUUAUUCGGAAUUACUGGGCGUAAAGCGUACGUAGGCGGCUUGUUAAGCAAGAUGUGAAAUCCCCGGGCUCAACCUGGGAAUGGCAUUUUGAACUGGCAAACUAGAGUCUUGUAGAGGGGGGUAGAAUUCCAGGUGUAGCGGUGAAAUGCGUAGAGAUCUGGAGGAAUACCAGUGGCGAAGGCGGCCCCCUGGCACAAUACUGACGCUCAGGUGCGAAAGCGUGGGGAGCAAACAGG